UAGGGAAUCUUCCGCAAUGGGCGAAAGCUUGACGGAGCAACGCCGCGUGAGUGAUGAAGGUCUUCGGAUCGUAAAACUCUGUUAUUAGGGAAGAACAAAUGUGUAAGUAACUAUGCACGUCUUGACGGUACCUAAUCAGAAAGCCACGGCUAACUACGUGCCAGCAGCCGCGGUAAUACGUUGGUGGCAAGCGUUAUCCGGAAUUAUUGGGCGUAAAGCGGGCGUAGGCGGUUUUUUAAGUCUGAUGUGAAAGCCCACGGCUCAACCGUGGAGGGUCAUUGGAAACUGGAAAACUUGAGUGCAGAAGAGGAAAGUGGAAUUCCAUGUGUAGCGGUGAAAUGCGCAGAGAUAUGGAGGAACACCAGUGGCGAAGGCGACUUUCUGGUCUGUAACUGACGCUGAUGUGCGAAAGCGUGGGGAUCAAACAGG
RNAcentral lists this ribosomal RNA (429 nucleotides) under Actinomycetes bacterium. RNAcentral's name for it is "Actinobacteria bacterium partial 16S ribosomal RNA". It matches the Rfam family "Bacterial small subunit ribosomal RNA", at positions 355 to 776 of the family's 1533-position model. The record is from RNAcentral. Lineage: Bacteria; Bacillati; Actinomycetota; Actinomycetes.